This 381-nucleotide long non-coding RNA is filed under the name Fragaria vesca (wild strawberry). RNAcentral describes it as "long non-coding RNA (FVES_LNC002036)". The record is from RNAcentral. Lineage: Eukaryota; Viridiplantae; Streptophyta; Magnoliopsida; Rosales; Rosaceae.
UAGCUGUGAAGCAAUUCAAAACACAGUAACAUCUAAAAAUCAAAAUCCAGCACACAUUUGAAUUUCCGAAGCUGCAAAAAAGGCCAAAGGCUUUGUCUUGGUCUGCAAGAAUGCGCAGAGCUUGCUCAGUCCAGCACCAACACCAGCUGCUCUAAAAACGUUCUUCUGUGCUCACCUUCUCGUCCCCAGUCUCGACACGUUUUCUCUUCCAACUCGCUUGCAGGUUCCCAAAACUUGAAUCCCCUGAAUUCCAUAAAACCGACGAGAGAAAAAAUAUUUAUUGCUUUCAACAAACUCAUAUGUAAGCUCCGAUUAAGCCUCUUAAAUAUGGCAGAAACAAUUUAUUCCCUCUGCUAGUUAUUUAGUGGUUAAUUAGUUCGU